Molecule: long non-coding RNA, 1155 nt
Filed under: Rhinopithecus bieti (black snub-nosed monkey)
Lineage: Eukaryota; Metazoa; Chordata; Mammalia; Primates; Cercopithecidae
Description: lncRNA (ENSRBIG00000045325.1)
Source: RNAcentral
GUUUAAACUGGAUGCCAUUGCCUUAACCCUUUCUGCUCUUCUCUUUAUUUGAGGUCUGCCUGUGUGAAGAGGAGGUGCAGUGCACCUUGGCAGUGCAGGCUGUGGGUGUCUGACCAAUAGUGUUUUGGAGAGGAGGCAUGGCAAAGACUAAAAAUGCAGAGCAUCCAGGAUCAAAGCGUGUUUGCAAUGCGAAGAACUAUCCCCUGACAAUCAGACUGGAAGAGGAAGGGCAUUGUUUCUCUCUGCACAUGUUCAGAGGAGAGUCAAACCUGACAGCGACCGUGAAAAGCCUGGAGUUUUCAGCCUGCUAGGCAAGCGGUGGUGCCAUAGAGAUUCGGAUCGGGUCCCAGCUCUUCUAUUCUUGAAGCACCCCUGCCCCCUAUACUCUCAUCCUGCAGAGAAAUACUGCUGUACGCUGUGCCUCUUUCCAGCAAGAAAGGUUUCUUCAUCUACUCUAGGCUGCAUUUUAGCAUUUACCCCAAGGCCUAUUAUAAAUGGACAGAAAAUUAAAUUUUUCUUUUUCCUCUUAGGGAGAGAAAACCUAACUAAAUUUCCAACUUAUGACAGUGUAUGUUCCACGUUUUCAUUGUAUCAUGGUCAUGUGUAGCCCUUUGCUGAUAGACAGGGGAUCAAAGAUUUCUACCCUGUUGGAAGAAGCCACUGUUGAAGUGUGAAAGGCUACUCUGCUUUCUGCGUACAUUUAACCUUUGGCCUGCCCUAAAGAGCCAGCCAAGUGUCAAUCAGGGCUGAUUGGGCACCUGUGCCUGGAAACAGGCCAGAGAAAUUCACCUCUUCCAGGUCAUCAAACCAUCUCCAGAUGGCAAAGAACUUCUGAAGUUAUGAACUAACUUGCUUGUGAUGCGAAUUAGUGACCUAGGGUGAGAUGCUUCAUUAAUGCUUACUCUCCUGAGCCACCAAGGUGUCAAAAGUUGGACUGCUUACUCUCACAUUUAUUUUUUUGCUCUGUAAUGUGCAUUAAAAUAAUUUAUAUUCAUAGAGAUGGUUCAAUAAAUUGCAUAUGGCUAGUUAAUAAACUAGUAAAGCAGAGAAGAAAAUUAGAUUUCAUUUAGAAGAAAACAAUAUUUAGCUUUCCCCAUGGAAAUAUGUGAAAAAGCUUUAGAAAAUUCUGUUAACAUUGAGGCCUCAGAAGAGACU